Molecule: ribosomal RNA, 795 nt
Filed under: uncultured bacterium
Lineage: Bacteria
Description: bacterial SSU rRNA
Rfam family: Bacterial small subunit ribosomal RNA
Source: RNAcentral
AGAGUUUGAUCAUGGCUCAGAUUGAACGCUGGCGGCAUGCCUUACACAUGCAAGUCGAACGGCAGCACGGGAGCAAUCCUGGUGGCGAGUGGCGAACGGGUGAGUAAUACAUCGGAACGUGCCCAGUAAUGGGGGAUAGCCCGGCGAAAGCCGGAUUAAUACCGCAUACGACCUACGGGUGAAAGCGGGGGAUUCGCAAGAACCUCGCGUUAUUGGAGCGGCCGAUGUCAGAUUAGGUAGUUGGUGGGGUAAAGGCCUACCAAGCCUGCGAUCUGUAGUUGGUCUGAGAGGACGACCAGCCACACUGGGACUGAGACACGGCCCAGACUCCUACGGGAGGCAGCAGUGGGGAAUUUUGGACAAUGGGCGCAAGCCUGAUCCAGCAAUGCCGCGUGCAGGAAGAAGGCCUUCGGGUUGUAAACUGCUUUUGUCAGGGAAGAAAUCCUCUGGGUUAAUACCUCGGGGGGAUGACGGUACCUGAAGAAUAAGCACCGGCUAACUACGUGCCAGCAGCCGCGGUAAUACGUAGGGUGCGAGCGUUAAUCGGAAUUACUGGGCGUAAAGCGUGCGCAGGCGGUUGUGCAAGACAGGUGUGAAAUCCCCGGGCUUAACCUGGGAACUGCACUUGUGACUGCACGGCUAGAGUACGGUAGAGGGGGAUGGAAUUCCGCGUGUAGCAGUGAAAUGCGUAGAUAUGCGGAGGAACACCGAUGGCGAAGGCAAUCCCCUGGACCUGUACUGACGCUCAUGCACGAAAGCGUGGGGAGCAAACAGGAUUAGAUACCCCGGUAGUCC